CAAAAGAUGUCAUUUUUUGAGAAUAUUUUUGUUUACAAUUCAUUUUUAUUGGAAUCAUACAGAGUUAGUUGACCUUUUAGGUCAAAGUGAAGAUUAUAAUUUGUUGAUUAAGCUGGAAGAGGAGGUCAUACUCUCAACGGAAGAUCGAAACACACAUGCCUUAUAGUUUUAGACACUUUUGAGACAAUUAUCAAAAUUCUACAACCACCAGAUCACUAGAAUGUCAUCUACCGAAGUUGCCUCCGCUUAUUUACACGGAAUACACAUAGACAUUCCAAACGAUCCACCACCCUAUAAUGAAGUCAUGAAAAUGAGUCACCCGCCCACCGCACCUCCAUUGGAAGCGAGGAUGCAAGAAAUACCGUUUUCAAGUAUAUUCGGUGUGGCGACGCACGUUCAAUUUGAACAUAAUGCUUCAUCCGUCGGUUCAUUUUUGAUCCGUGAUUUGGACGGAUCACUGCAAGCAAAAGGAGACACAACCAGUCAUCAUAUCGUUGUACAAAAUGUAAAUGGAACGGAGAUGUUAAAGAUCAUCGAGCGAUCGAUAGAUCAAGUAAAUAGAGCUCACGUUCAUACAUAUGCUGUGGUCCAUAAUCAUACCGGCAUCGGUACGAUAAAAGUGACCUAGAGUAGUUCAUCUGCACGCACAUCACUGCAAAUUCUUCGCGGAAACGGUAUACCAAUUACUGUGAACUCGUUGAGAGUCGGUGACUAUGCAGUAAGUUGUGACUAGACUAACGUUGAUGUCGUAAACGCAUGCUGAGUGAACGUUGCCUCUAAAACCGAUUCAAGACAAAAAUCGUAGAGGUAGCACUCGUCCUUCCUCAAAAUGUUGAAUCAAUUGACAUGAGGUGUCCUCAUUGAGGACACAUUAUUGUGCGGUCCAUGAAGCUGAACUGAAAAUUGAUUUUUUGUUGCUGAGAAUCAAAUUUUGAUAUUUCGCAAUAAAUCGUCGCCCACCCCAAUGUGUAACAUUCAAAUGCCCAAUGUCGAAGCCACCACUGAUGAUAUGACCGAAUUCAAUGUAAAAAUAAUAUUUCAUCCACACACUGGGAUCACUGAGGAGGAACAACUGCUAUGCACAGCAGCUGCCAUUGCAUUUAAAACUACAAUGAAGCAAAAAGUGGCUGAUGACGACAGAUACGUCGGGACCGUAUUUUGUAUUCUCACUUUUCUUGGGAUAGUGGCGCUGCUUAUCAUAGUUAUGCGUUAACGAAGCGCCCGUGACGCAAGUCCCAUUGCAAGUAAAAAAUUCACAGUCAUGUCGUACACUACUUGCGUGUACUAUUUACAGCAAGUUUUUAAAUUCUCCCCUUUUGUUCAAAACAAUUUUUAAAUGGAUUGGGUGACAAGGUAUUGAGGCAUAACCUUUCGUUACUUUGUAGCCUUGUUCCAUAAUUAAAAAGAAAGUUUGUGGCUUCUACCUUCCUGUAGACAUUUAUGACAGAAUAUGACCAAUGCUCUUGACGUCCCCGUAGAUUACCAUUCAAGAACGGACCUUUCUUUACACUUUUUCCCUACGGCGUGCGUACAUUGACGUACGUGGACCAAUCUUGACAUUAGCGUAAUGCGCGUUUUUUCCAACGAUGUAUCAGGAUUCCUGAUUCAGGAAGUAUGUAACGUACAGGGACUUGCGUCACAUUUUACACUCUUUAAAUUCCUGGUAAAUCAUGGCUGUGAGCAUUGUAAAGGUCAACGGCAAUGCAAGUUACCAAAAUGGAGACGAUUAAGUGACCUACCGAGAUUACCGAGAUUUGUUACAAAAUAAAAUGCAUUUAUUGACACACACA
RNA transcript from Bradysia coprophila, 1790 nucleotides. RefSeq lists it as uncharacterized. The record is from RefSeq and is a predicted model, not a curated record. NCBI's taxonomy places the organism in Eukaryota, Metazoa, Arthropoda, Insecta, Diptera, Sciaridae.